RNAcentral lists this ribosomal RNA (440 nucleotides) under uncultured bacterium. Its description in RNAcentral is "partial 16S ribosomal RNA". It matches the Rfam family "Bacterial small subunit ribosomal RNA", at positions 338 to 795 of the family's 1533-position model. The record is from RNAcentral.
CCUACGGGGGACAGCAGUGGGGAAUAUUGCACAAUGGGGGAAACCCUGAUGCAGCGACGCCGCGUGAGUGAAGAAGUAAUUCGUUAUGUAAAGCUCUAUCAGCAGGGAAGAAAAUGACGGUACCUGAGUAAUAAGCCCCGGCUAACUACGUGCCAGCAGCCGCGGUCAUACGGAGGGGGCAAGCGUUAUCCGGAUUUACUGGGUGUAAAGGGAGCGUAGACGGCAGUGCAAGUCUGGGGUGAAAGGCGGGGGCUCAACCCCCGGACUGCUCUGGAAACUGUACGGCUGGAGUGCAGGAGAGGGAAGUAGAAUUCCAAGUGUAGCGGUGAAAUGCGUAGAUAUUAGGAGGAACACCAGUGGCGAAGGCGGCUUACUGGACUGUAACUGACGUUGAGGCUCGAAAGCGUGGGGAGCAAACAGGAUUAGAUACCCCUGUAGUC